GCAAGGGCCCCUGAAGGCUGAGGGUGGAGGCCAUUUCCGGCCAGCUACAAGACUACACAGGUCUUCCUCCUGGGUUCUACUCUUAAGAGUCAACAGUGGACGUCUGGCUGCCAUUCCAACUGCAGUAGGCUUCCUGCAGCGGCUGGUGAGCCAAACGGGGAGUAGUGAGUCCACAGGGGCAGACGCCGGGGAAGCGCGCUCAUUGGAGAGGUCAGCAGUGUGUCCAGCUCAAUGGCCUAGCCUCGCCAGGCUGAGCCGCGGACCUUCCCGGCUUCCGUUCGUUUCUGUCCGCUUCCGGCCGCCUCAGGUGCAGCGCGGAUCCCUCCGCCGCAGCGGGCAGUCCCGGUAGCGCCGCGAGCAGCUUUUCGGUGAUACCCGGAUGGAAGGGUAAUGGCCGCCAUCAGGGACUCGCAAGCCAUGGGGACCACGACAGAUAUCUCUUCUUUUGAUCACUGUUCCUGUGUGUGAGACGUUGUCCAAGCAUUGAAUUGUGUGCCUUUUAUUCCUUGAAGAGUUGGUGCUAGCAUCUCUCUGCUCUGUCCGACCUCUGGAUCCAGUUCAAAGCUGUGGAAUUGUUCUCUUUCUCCCCAUACCUCAGCCUGAGCCUUCUGUCAUCCAAAGCCUCUGCCUGGUCCCUCCACUCGAUCCUCAUUCAUCUGUUAAGAUGAGGAAACUGAAGAGAAGUUGAAGCUGUCCCAAUGUAGUUUUGAAGAGCUGGACCUAGAGUUUGCUUUUUUUUUUUACUUCCAGAUUAGUGUUAUUUUAUUCACACUCUUACUUCUUGGUAAGCUGUUCUUAAAAUACUUUGCAAUUCUUUUGUUUCUUUACAUGUUUGAAUGACAUUCCUACAUUGUGCCAGAAUAAACAUAAAGAUGGGAAU
Molecule: long non-coding RNA, 880 nt
Organism: Ochotona princeps (American pika)
Lineage: Eukaryota; Metazoa; Chordata; Mammalia; Lagomorpha; Ochotonidae
Exons: 4
Source: RefSeq, a predicted model, not a curated record